UACGGAGGGUGCAAGCGUUAAUCGGAAUUACUGGGCGUAAAGGGCGCGUAGGUGGUGAUUUAAGUUGGCUGUGAAAUCCCCGGGCUUAACCUGGGGUUGUCAGCCAGUACUGAAUGACUGGAGUACAAUAGAGGGUAGUGGAAUUUCAGGUGUAGCGGUGAAAUGCGUAGAUAUCUGAAGGAACACCAGUGGCGAAGGCGACUACCUGGGUUGAUACUGACACUGAGGCGCGUAAGCGUGGGGAGCAAACAGG
Molecule: ribosomal RNA, 253 nt
Filed under: uncultured bacterium
Lineage: Bacteria
Description: partial 16S ribosomal RNA
Rfam family: Bacterial small subunit ribosomal RNA
Source: RNAcentral